Molecule: ribosomal RNA, 395 nt
Filed under: uncultured bacterium
Lineage: Bacteria
Description: bacterial SSU rRNA
Rfam family: Bacterial small subunit ribosomal RNA
Source: RNAcentral
AUUGAACGCUGGCGGCAUGCCUUACACAUGCAAGUCGAACGGCAGCACGGGAGCAAUCCUGGUGGCGAGUGGCGAACGGGUGAGUAAUAUAUCGGAACGUGCCCAGUCGUGGGGAUAACGUAGCGAAAGCUACGCUAAUACCGCAUACGAUCUAAGGAUGAAAGCGGGGGAUCGCAAGACCUCGCGCGAUUGGAGCGGCCGAUAUCAGAUUAGGUAGUUGGUGAGGUAAAGGCUCACCAAGCCGACGAUCUGUAGCUGGUCUGAGAGGACGACCAGCCACACUGGGACUGAGACACGGCCCAGACUCCUACGGGAGGCAGCAGUGGGAAUUUUGGACAAUGGGCGCAAGCCUGAUCCAGCAAUGCCGCGUGCAGGAUGAAGGCCUCGGUUGUAAC